This 241-nucleotide ribosomal RNA is filed under the name uncultured Actinomycetes bacterium. Its description in RNAcentral is "uncultured actinobacterium partial 16S ribosomal RNA". It matches the Rfam family "Bacterial small subunit ribosomal RNA", at positions 683 to 922 of the family's 1533-position model. Lineage: Bacteria; Bacillati; Actinomycetota; Actinomycetes. The record is from RNAcentral.
GGAAUGCGCAGAUAUCAGGAAGAACACCAAUGGCGAAGGCAGGUCUCUGGGCCAAUACUGACACUGAGGAGCGAAAGCGUGGGGAGCGAACAGGAUUAGAUACCCUGGUAGUCCACACCGUAAACGGUGGGCACUAGUUGUGGGAACCUUCCACGGUUUCUGCGACGCACCUAACGCAUUAAGUGCCCCGCCGGGGGAGUACGAUCGCAAGAUUAAAACUCAAAGGAAUUGACGGGGCCCC